AGUGAACGCUGGCGGCGUGCUUAACACAUGCAAGUCGAACGGAUUAAAAAGAGCUUGCUUUUUUGAUUAGUGGCGCACGGGUGAGUAACGCGUGGGUAAUCUACCCUUGGAUUUGGGAUAACUCUGCGAAAGUGGAGCUAAUACCGGAUAGUCUGGCUUUAAAAUAAGAAGUCGGUAAAGGAUGCCUCUGCAUAUGCAUUCGUCCGAGGAUGAGCCCGCGUCUCAUUAGCUAGUUGGUAGGGUAAUGGCCUACCAAGGCAACGAUGAGUAGCUGGUCUGAGAGGAUGAUCAGCCACACUGGAACUGAAACACGGUCCAGACUCCUACGGGAGGCAG
This 336-nucleotide ribosomal RNA is filed under the name uncultured Pseudomonadota bacterium. RNAcentral describes it as "bacterial SSU rRNA". It matches the Rfam family "Bacterial small subunit ribosomal RNA", at positions 29 to 351 of the family's 1533-position model. Lineage: Bacteria; Pseudomonadati; Pseudomonadota. The record is from RNAcentral.